This 1144-nucleotide long non-coding RNA is filed under the name Calidris pugnax (ruff). RNAcentral's name for it is "lncRNA (ENSCPUG00000012970.1)". Lineage: Eukaryota; Metazoa; Chordata; Aves; Charadriiformes; Scolopacidae. The record is from RNAcentral.
GGGUCCCACGAGUCACUAUGUGUGACGCUGGGAGCUCAACCCAACAGACAAGAUCGAGGGAGGCAAAGCUCCCAGCAAGAGUCCCAAGACUUUCUCUGCCUCUUUAGUGCUCUGCACUGACACCCUCCAGUGACAGCAAAAGUGGAACCCCCAGCCUGAGACCAACUGAGUUACUCAGAAGGGACUUUGCUGGCUCACACUUUGCCUUGAAGUGUCAUAGGAAAAGGGAAGAGACUUUGAACUUCCUCUCCUGCCCUGCCUUUUUGCCUGAGCUGCGCUCAGUCCUGUGGCCCCCCAGGACAAUGUCCAUGAGAAGCUGUGGGGAGGGAUGGGACCCCUGCUAGCACAACAGCUGCUCUUCCAGGAGAUGCCCUCAGGCUUCGCGUGUCCCGUGGGAGCGACGCAGCGCGGUACCAAGUGGGAUUUUAAGGGGAGGAAGAAAACACGUGUCCCAGCACCUCUCCGUUUUGCCCGGCCAGCUGGAGACGGCAUCAUCUUAAGCAAGUCUAAGAGCAGCUUUGAACUUGGAGAGUGUUUGUUCACCAAAAGGUCGGUUGUUGGUACGUUACAGAGAACAACACGCCUCUUAUUUCCAGAGCCCGGCCAGCGCCAGCCAAGGGGAAAGCCUGACGUAGGAGGGAGCAGGUGACACGUGGGGGUUGGGGCAGGAGGUGACAGUCUCCUCACCCUGCCCCGAUGCCAAAAUCCCGCAGGCAGUGAGUGGCACGAGGGGAAGGAGUUGCCCGUGUGAUGCCUCAGGGCAGCUCUGCGCAGCCCCCAGUGGGUCUUUGCUGCUGCCCUGGGGUUUUCCCUGCAGAACUGCCUUUUCCUUUUUGUGGGAAGGAUCCCACAAAACUGGUUCAGGCUGGAUAUUAGGAAAAAUUUUUUCACUGAAAGGGUCAUCAGACAUUGGAAUGGGCUGCCCAGGGAGGUGGUUGAGGCACCAUCCCUGGAGGUGUUAAAAAGACAGGUUGAUGUAGUGCUGGGAGGUAUGGUUUAGUGAUGGUGUUGCUUCUUGUUUGUUGUGCGGGUGUCUAUUUUUGUCAGUUAGGUUGAUGGUUGGACAAGAUGAUCUUUGAGGUCCCUUCCAACCUAGAAAAUUCUGUGAUUCUGUGGUGCCGCUAUCCAGUUUCUGGCAAUUACU